CUGCAGCACUGAGAUGUUUUUACCUCAGUGUCUGGGCCGAAUGAAGGAGAGAGAAGACAGAAGAGCCAUCAUGUAGAGAUGUGUGUAUGCUAAAGAAAGGCUUUAGAAAAGUGAUGUCAUGGUCUGAGAUGCAGGAAGUGAUGUCAGAGAUCACCUGUCUUCCAUACCUUGGGAAUCUUUUAGGGUUCUACACAAUCUUCAUAUUUGUGACUGAUUCCGAACUUGGAUUCCUCCAGUUAUUCUUUUCUCUGUAUAAAUUUAAUUCAACCUAUUAGUAACGUGUUCUUAUUUAUGAUAAAGAUUUGCAUAUAAACUGAAUCUGUGUUGUAAAGUUCUGAACCUGCUGGUAAAUUUGUCCUUCAUGAAUAAAAGUGUUUGAGGGAUGUUCUACAGGAAGUGAGCAUAAAGUCGCUCACCAUCUGAAUUAGUUUCAGCUUUAGCCUGUUUUAUAUUCCAAGAGUAAUCGGGUUUCACUCCACAGCGCCUCCUGGUGGGCUCUGGACCCAGAGGAACCCACAGGACCGGCUUGACGCUCUCUGGGUGUCCCUACUUAGGCUUCUGAGGCUGCUGCCCGACCCGACCGAGGGAUAAUCCAUCUGACUGAACAGCUCUUUAACGGUGUGUGGCCUGAAGGACGGCGUCCACCAGGUUCUGAUGUGAUUCAAACUUCUGAUCUUGAAGACGUUAAAAUAAAAUUAUUUUCUCUCGUUGAGCAAAUAGAAAUAAUUUGAUUCUGACUGGGGAGUUUGGUCUGAUUUAACUUCAGGCGGUGAGGAACACCGUUGUAUAUAAACUUCUGGUUGAAGUUUUGGUUGAAACUCUCCAUGAUGUGCAGGGCAGCGGAGGUUCUGACCCAACCCGUUUUUUUUUUUGUUUUUUUUUGGCUUUUGCGUCUUCUGCCCGACGUCAAACAGUCAGUAAGACUCUGGAAGCCAUGGCAACGCAGAGUCCCGAUGCUCGGAGCUCACCGGGUCAGAACAUUUCCUAAAGCAUUGAGUUUCUGCUCCUGCUGGAGUGAACAGAACCAUGGUGACACCAGAACAGAACCAAGCCCAGGUUCUGGUUUUGGCCGUAAUCACUGAGUCAGAUUGUAAAAACCAUGAAUGUGACCUGAGGUUGGACUGCAGCUUUUUAUUUGACCUUUAACCUUUAGUUCUGAUGUUUUCAGAUCUGAAUUAAAAAGGUGAAACGUCGUCAUGAUGGAGAAACUCACCAUCCUGAAGCAAACACCUGGAUGGACAGCACAAAGU
Long non-coding RNA from Poecilia latipinna (sailfin molly), 1250 nucleotides. RefSeq lists it as uncharacterized. The record is from RefSeq and is a predicted model, not a curated record. The transcript has 2 exons. NCBI's taxonomy places the organism in Eukaryota, Metazoa, Chordata, Actinopteri, Cyprinodontiformes, Poeciliidae.